AAAAUAAAUGUUAUGACCAAAUAACUAUUACAACAACAACAAAGAGGAAGUAAAGCAAAACUUUCUAUUGCAUGACCGACCGGACAACAAGUGUGUUCUGCAAUGAAAAGAACAAGAGAAAUGGAAAACAAAAACUAUGUGAAACAACACCCCCAUCCAUUCUAUAAAGAGUUCAGUGGUGAUACAGAUCGACGACGGCGGUGAGCGUUUCCGACGGCGUCCAUUUGAGACCCAAUAGGGAACUGUAACAUGUUUGCAGGGGUUUUUAAACAAUGUUGUUAUUCAGAAUUAAAAAUAAACAAGGAACUAUAAAUAAGAAAUAUAUUUACCAUAAACAACCAAACAAAAAAUGCUUCCAUUGGAUCUUAAAUUACGCUGUUUACACAGCAUCAUUAGCCAUAUAAACUAACAUGAUUGAUAAAUUCAUACUUUUUGUUUUCUCGAGUUUAUGGAAAUUUGAAUCAAAGGACAUGUAAUAUGUAUAAAAAUAAAUAGAAAACAUAA
This is a long non-coding RNA of Musca domestica (house fly), 504 nucleotides long. RefSeq lists it as uncharacterized. The record is from RefSeq and is a predicted model, not a curated record. NCBI's taxonomy places the organism in Eukaryota, Metazoa, Arthropoda, Insecta, Diptera, Muscidae. The transcript has 3 exons.